Molecule: ribosomal RNA, 497 nt
Filed under: uncultured bacterium
Lineage: Bacteria
Description: partial 16S ribosomal RNA
Rfam family: Bacterial small subunit ribosomal RNA
Source: RNAcentral
GAUGAACGCUGGCGGCGUGCCUAAUACAUGCAAGUCGAGCGAACGGACGAGAAGCUUGCUUCUCUGAUGUUAGCGGCGGACGGGUGAGUAACACGUGGAUAACCUACCUAUAAGACUGGGAUAACUUCGGGAAACCGUAGCUAAUACCGGAUAAUAUUUUGAGCCGCAUGGUUCAAAAGUGAAAGACGGUCUUGCUGUCACUUAUAGAUGGAUCCGCGCUGCAUUAGCUAGUUGGUAAGGUAACGGCUUACCAAGGCAACGAUGCAUAGCCGACCUGAGAGGGUUAUCGGCCCCACCGGAACUGAGACACGGUCCAGACUCCUACGGGAGGCAGCAGUAGGGAAUCUUCCGCAAUGGGCGAAAGCCUGACGGAGCAACGCCGCGUGAGUGAUGAAGGUCUUCGGAUCGUAAAACUCUGUUAUUAGGGAAGAACAUAUGUGUAAGUAACUGUGCACAUCUUGACGGUACCUAAUCAGAAAGCCACGGCUAACUACGUG